AUAGUCUAUAGAGAACACUAC
RNAcentral lists this non-coding RNA (21 nucleotides) under Arabidopsis thaliana (thale cress). Lineage: Eukaryota; Viridiplantae; Streptophyta; Magnoliopsida; Brassicales; Brassicaceae. The record is from RNAcentral.